Molecule: ribosomal RNA, 643 nt
Filed under: uncultured bacterium
Lineage: Bacteria
Description: bacterial SSU rRNA
Rfam family: Bacterial small subunit ribosomal RNA
Source: RNAcentral
CAAAGGAAGCGAUUCCGGCGGGGGAUGGGCAUGCGGCGCAUUAGCUAGUCGGCGGGGUAACGGCCCACCGAGGCGACGAUGCGUAGGGGUUCUGAGAGGAAGGUCCCCCACACUGGUACUGAGACACGGACCAGACUCCUACGGGAGGCAGCAGUGAGGAAUAUUGGUCAAUGGGCGGGAGCCUGAACCAGCCAAGUCGCGUGAGGGAAGACGGUCCUACGGAUUGUAAACCUCUUUUGCCGGGGAGCAACGGGGUCCUUGCGAGGGCCCAAUGAGAGUACCCGGAGAAAAAGCAUCGGCUAACUCCGUGCCAGCAGCCGCGGUAAUACGGAGGAUGCGAGCGUUAUCCGGAUUUAUUGGGUUUAAAGGGUGCGUAGGCGGGCUGUUAAGUCAGCGGCCAAAUGUCGGGGCUCAACCCCGGCCUGCCGUUGAAACUGGCGGCCUCGAGUGGGCGAGAAGUAUGCGGAAUGCGUGGUGUAGCGGUGAAAUGCAUAGAUAUCACGCAGAACUCCGAUUGCGAAGGCAGCAUACCGGCGCCCGACUGACGCUGAGGCACGAAAGCGUGGGUAUCGAACAGGAUUAGAUACCCUGGUAGUCCACGCAGUAAACGAAGAAUGCUAGCUGUCCGGGACUUCGGUCCUGG